This is a long non-coding RNA of Ixodes scapularis (black-legged tick), 311 nucleotides long. RefSeq lists it as uncharacterized. The record is from RefSeq and is a predicted model, not a curated record. Lineage: Eukaryota; Metazoa; Arthropoda; Arachnida; Ixodida; Ixodidae. The transcript is spliced from 2 exons.
AAGAGAGGGUUGCGUGAAGAUUGCAGGUAAAGCUCACAAUAGCUGUAAAGUCAACUGCACUAUUUGUUGUCGCGUCGAGAUAUAUGAAGUUGAAUAACACCACCGGGCUCGAGCGUCUCGGAUACUCGGUGACUGCACCUAACCAGUGAGGAAUGCUUACGAAAAUACGGCUACUUCUGAGAGCGGUCCUGGCUCUGCUCCUGUUACACCUCGCAUCAGGAACGAUCUCAUCCGAGCAUGCUAGGCUGCCGAACUUGGCUUCAAAUGUAACCCUGGCGGCAUCUGACAUCUUCAACGAUGGAGGAAGAGAG